GUAGGUGGCAAGCGUUGUCCGGAAUUAUUGGGCGUAAAGCGCGCGCAGGCGGUUCUUUAAGUCUGAUGUGAAAGCCCACGGCUCAACCGUGGAGGGUCAUUGGAAACUGGAGAACUUGAGUACAGAAGAGGAAAGCGGAAUUCCACGUGUAGCGGUGAAAUGCGUAGAGAUGUGGAGGAACACCAGUGGCGAAGGCGGCUUUCUGGUCUGUAACUGACGCUGAGGCGCGAAAGCGUGGGGUAGCAAACAGGAUUAGAUACCUGGUAGUCCACGCCGUAAACCGAUGAGUGCUAAGUGUUAGGGGGGGUUUUACCCGGCCCCCCCGUUACGUGCUGCAGCUAACGCAUUAAGCACUCCGCCUGGGAGUACGGCCGCAAGGCUG
This 382-nucleotide ribosomal RNA is filed under the name uncultured organism. Its description in RNAcentral is "partial 16S ribosomal RNA". It matches the Rfam family "Bacterial small subunit ribosomal RNA", at positions 527 to 896 of the family's 1533-position model. The record is from RNAcentral.